RNAcentral lists this ribosomal RNA (866 nucleotides) under uncultured Bacteroidota bacterium. RNAcentral describes it as "bacterial SSU rRNA". It matches the Rfam family "Bacterial small subunit ribosomal RNA", at positions 61 to 917 of the family's 1533-position model. Lineage: Bacteria; Pseudomonadati; Bacteroidota. The record is from RNAcentral.
GUCGAGGGGAAACGACAUCGAAAGCUUGCUUUUGAUGGGCGUCGACCGGCGCACGGGUGAGUAACGCGUAUCCAACCUGCCCACCACUUGGGGAUAACCUUGCGAAAGUAAGACUAAUACCCAAUGAUAUCCCACGAAGGCAUCCGAAUGGGAUUAAAGAUUUAUCGGUGAUGGAUGGGGAUGCGUCUGAUUAGCUUGUUGGCGGGGUAACGGCCCACCAAGGCUACGAUCAGUAGGGGUUCUGAGAGGAAGGUCCCCCACAUUGGAACUGAGACACGGUCCAAACUCCUACGGGAGGCAGCAGUGAGGAAUAUUGGUCAAUGGGCGAGAGCCUGAACCAGCCAAGUAGCGUGCAGGAUGACGGCCCUAUGGGUUGUAAACUGCUUUUAUAAGGGAAUAAAGUGAGUCUCGUGAGACUUUUUGCAUGUACCUUAUGAAUAAGGACCGGCUAAUUCCGUGCCAGCAGCCGCGGUAAUACGGAAGGUCCGGGCGUUAUCCGGAUUUAUUGGGUUUAAAGGGAGCGUAGGCCGGAGAUUAAGCGUGUUGUGAAAUGUAGUGGCUCAACCUCUGCACUGCAGCGCGAACUGGUCUUCUUGAGUACGCACAACGUGGGCGGAAUUCGUGGUGUAGCGGUGAAAUGCUUAGAUAUCACGAAGAACUCCGAUUGCGAAGGCAGCUCACGGGAGCGCAACUGACGCUGAAGCUCGAAAGUGCGGGUAUCGAACAGGAUUAGAUACCCUGGUAGUCCGCGCGGUAAACGAUGGAUGCCCGCUGUUGGCCUGAAUAGGUCAGCGGCCAAGCGAAAGCAUUAAGCAUCCCACCUGGGGAGUACGCCGGCAACGGUGCAACUCAAAGGAAUUGACGGA